CGCGACUUGAACGGAUUGUGAUGUUCAACUGAAAAUAUUUAUUCAAUAUGUUGACGUUCGAUGCUCGCCGCUUGGUCGAUUUCGAGCGAUCUGCGCUGGUGUGUGUGCGUGUGAGCCGCCGCACGGGUGCGCCUGUGUGGUUGGUGCUCAAUUUACGCCAAGAAGAGAACCAACGAAUUGUGCGAGUGUUAUAUGUGAGCUUGUACACUGCGCAAAACGGAUAAAAAGAUCUUACAGUCUAAUGCUCGCUGAAACGAGAGUAGGGUGCAACGGAAAAUAAACAUAAUCUGUGGGGGGAGGUGUUUGGGGAUGUGUGGGACUAGCCCAGUCUCAGGGGCCCCUGAUGACUCAAUUGGCGCCGGCUCCUUGUGAAUGAAGCGACGCGAACUGGUCGGAGCUCUGGGCACCAAAAGGAAAUCUUCGCUGCGAGCUACUUGCCUUGUCCUAGCCUGCAAUUGGCCAAGGUGAACCGGAUCGGAUGUCGUGUGCAUGUGCAUGUGAACAGCGUUUUGGCGCUCUUCAACAUUGUCAGUGUCAAUUAUUUGAGAACCAAAGAGACGUCGGGACCUUGAACUUAUCGCCAAGUCUAAUGCAAAUGAUGACUAAAAGGCGUGCGCCGGAAAACAAUUGCUUUUUAGAAAUUUUUAGAAAUUGCACGCGCGCUGGCAGAUCACACAAAUCUUUUAAUUUUAAUUCAAGGGCAACUAUUUUAAUAGGGUCGGCACGACAGCUGCACAAAGGAAUUGGACAUAGACAUAUAUUGUGUGUAGUUUAAGAAUAUAAAAAAGUAUA
Drosophila gunungcola (fruit fly) is the source of this 792-nucleotide long non-coding RNA. RefSeq lists it as uncharacterized. The transcript has 3 exons. Lineage: Eukaryota; Metazoa; Arthropoda; Insecta; Diptera; Drosophilidae. The record is from RefSeq and is a predicted model, not a curated record.